This is a non-coding RNA of Pteropus alecto (black flying fox), 73 nucleotides long. Lineage: Eukaryota; Metazoa; Chordata; Mammalia; Chiroptera; Pteropodidae. The record is from Rfam.
GCUGUGCCCUACUUGGAUAUGUCCCAGUUGCUUAGACUAUGUGUAAUUGGUUCAUUUCUGAGUGGAGCAAGCU